This 544-nucleotide unclassified non-coding RNA is filed under the name Hevea brasiliensis (rubber tree). Lineage: Eukaryota; Viridiplantae; Streptophyta; Magnoliopsida; Malpighiales; Euphorbiaceae. The record is from RNAcentral.
GAAAAACAAAAUUUCAACAGUUCAUGUCAAUAAAAAAUUAUAUGUUAUCUCUGUGGGGCUAGUUAAUUCCCCUGGUAGGUUGGCUCAGCCCCUUCAGCAGCUAGUUUUAUUCGUUGGUGAUGCUCCGCGACCUUGUAAUCUACAAUUUCCCUGAAUAGUUGAGAAUCAAGAACGCAGUCUGGGCUCCCAUAUACAGUUGCUUGAACACUUGCCACAAGUUUUGCAAUCUCACGCCCAGAGAAUCCUUCUGUCUUCUUAGCAGCCUCUCUAAUCACCUCAUCAGACAAAUCUUUUAUGGUUAUCCUUUGCGGGCUCUUCUUGAAGAGGUGUCCCCACUUAGAAUCGCUGUCACUGUCACCUUCACCAGCAAGGUACUUGUUCAAAUAGAGCUUCAGCAAUUGGAAACGCUCAUCCUCUUGAGGUAGAGGGAAUUCAAUAACUUCAUCUAUACGGUCAGUGACAGCACUGUCAAGGUCUCCUGGUCUGUUGGUAGCGAGGACAAGAACUACGUCUCGUGACUGGUCACCUGUCCGAAAGAGUAAAG